GGUAAGGUGGCCGAGAGGCUGAAGGCGCUCCCCUGCUAAGGGAGUAUGCGGCUUAUACCCGCAUCGAGGGUUCGAAUCCCUCCUUCACCGCCA
RNAcentral lists this transfer RNA (93 nucleotides) under Aeromonas schubertii. RNAcentral describes it as "tRNA-Ser". It matches the Rfam family "tRNA". Rfam says of the family: Transfer RNA (tRNA) molecules are approximately 80 nucleotides in length. The record is from RNAcentral. Lineage: Bacteria; Pseudomonadati; Pseudomonadota; Gammaproteobacteria; Aeromonadales; Aeromonadaceae.